GGGGACAUGGUUCAGUGGUAGAACAUUUGCCUGGCAUGCAUAAGGCCCUGGGUUCUGUCCCCA
RNAcentral lists this transfer RNA (63 nucleotides) under Ictidomys tridecemlineatus (thirteen-lined ground squirrel). RNAcentral's name for it is "Spermophilus tridecemlineatus (thirteen-lined ground squirrel) tRNA". It matches the Rfam family "tRNA". From Rfam's summary of the family: Transfer RNA (tRNA) molecules are approximately 80 nucleotides in length. Their secondary structure includes four short double-helical elements and three loops (D, anti-codon, and T loops). The record is from Rfam by way of RNAcentral. Lineage: Eukaryota; Metazoa; Chordata; Mammalia; Rodentia; Sciuridae.